AUGCGCCCCCCGGCUCCCCGCUCUGCUCCCCACGCAGCAUCCUCCCCGCCAGAACCCGCUCUCGGGGCGGAGUCACCGAUGCUAACUCCGGCUCUGCCGUUUGCCGUCACCUUAAAACUUACAAAGGGCCACUCGCCUGUAGAAAUGAAAGCGGACGCUGCUGAGGUGCAUGAGGUCAAGAGUCAAGUCCUCUCCCCAGGUGUGUCGAAGCCUCGCCCACAGGAGCCAGGCGGACUGGGGGUGGCAGUUGCCAGACCGCGUCCACCCCCGUGCCUCCACGGGCCCCGCCCGCCACCAGAGCGCUUGCAGGACCGGAGCGGGGGGAGCCUGUGCCCUGGCAGGAAGGGCUCGGGGCCUCCGGCUGCGCUGGGAGGACGGGGCGGCGGGCACCGGGCCCCAGGGCUCGCACGCCCGGGCCGAUUGGAAGCCCGACGCCAGGCUGCUCAGCUGAGGUGCGGCCGGAACAGCGAGGGGCGGCCCCGGCCUCUGGGUGUCCGAAGCCGUCAGAUGCAGAGCUUCUCUUAGUUGGCUUUGCUUCCUCCGCGCUGGCCGGGCCACCUGUCCCCGCUUGGUACCCGGUGGGAGCACAGGGGUCCCUCUGCACGGCCAGGAACGGGCUUGCUCCCUGGGCCAGGGCUCAGCGCACUGUGACCUUCGGGGCCUGGUCCUGAGCGCACCCCCGCGCUGGGGAUGGUUGGUGGCUCUACAGAACCAUGUGGAUCUGGUGAGGGGAUUUCCUGCAGGAAGCAGGGCAUCUGCUGUGGGAAGCAUGGCUAGGAGGCCCACGCCCUGGCCCCGUGGAAGUCACACGUUCUCCCUGCACUCACACCCACGACUCCGGGGGCCCCGCCUGGCACAGUGCAGCCGUGCGAGGGUAAAAACACCUCCCUCCCGAGAGAGGUUGACCUAGGGCACUUGCCCGUGGCAAUGGGAGGUGACUGGGGCCAUAGUCCCCUGGGGCGUGUCCACCUCCCUGAGUUCUGGUGAGAUCCUGCCCAGAGUGUGCAGCCUCAAGUAGGUGCCAGAACUACCCACUGCCUGCGUGUCUGAGACCCCACAGCAGGAGGAAGGAAGAGCAGAGGAGCAGAGAGUAAGAUGCAUUCAAGCCCAGACAAGUCAGAACGGCCCCCUUUCUUCUCCCCGUCGGGUCACAAACUACCCGACUGGUGGUCCCCGUGCUGUUGACCUUCCAUAUUGGUGCCCCGGGCGGGUGGCCUCUCCCUGGUAGGCUGACCUAACCUUUACUGCUGAGGAGGUCGGAGCCCUUGUGCCUUCUGGCCUCCUGGGAUUGCACGGUCCGCCAUGAACACAUCUGCACACUGUGGAGGAUCGUUCCUGAGGUCCCCAGGCCCACCGUGUCCUCCUGCCCACGGAAGGCCAGACUGGUAACCCCACACCCUCUUUGCCCAUUCACCCGGUGUGGCCCCAGCUCCCAUCUCCUGGCCGGGCAGUGUCCUCCCCUGCGUAACACAGUGCCGCUCUGAUCGGGACAGAGAGCAGAGCCCUCGUUCGCUGCAUGAUGGAA
Molecule: long non-coding RNA, 1525 nt
Filed under: Vulpes vulpes (red fox)
Lineage: Eukaryota; Metazoa; Chordata; Mammalia; Carnivora; Canidae
Description: lncRNA (ENSVVUG00000019042.1)
Source: RNAcentral